CUNUCUGACUUGAGUGCAGAAGGGGAGAGUGGANUUCCAUGUGUAGCGGUGAAAUGCGUAGAUAUAUGGAGGANCACCAGUGGCGAAAGCGGCUCUCUGGUCUGACACUGACGCUGAGGCUCGAAAGCGUGGGUAGCGAACAGGAUUAGAUACCCUGGUAGUNCACGCCGUAAACGAUGAGUGCUAGGUGUUAGGCCCUUUCCGGGGCUUAGUGCCGGAGCUAACGCAAUAAGCACUCCGCCUGGGGAGUACGACCGCAAGGUCGAAACUCAAAGGAAUUGACGGGGGCCCGCACAAGCGGUGGAGCAUGUGGUUUAAUUCGAAGCAACGCGAAGAACCUUACCAGGUCUUGACAUCCCGAUGCUAUUCUUAGAGAUAGGAAGUUACUUCGGUACACCGGAGACAGGUGGUGCAUGGUUGUCGUCAGCUCGUGUCGUGAGAUGUUGGGUUAAGUCCCGCAACGAGCGCAACCCUUAUUGUUAGUUGCCAUCAUUAAGUUGGGCACUCUAGCGAGACUGCCGGUAAUAAACCGGAGGAAGGUGGGGAUGACGUCAAAUCAUCAUGCCCCUUAUGACCUGGGCUACACACGUGCUACAAUGGUCGGUACAACGAGUUGCGAGCCGGUGACGGCAAGCUAAUCUCUGAAAGCCGAUCUCAGUUCGGAUUGGAGGCUGCAACUCGCCUCCAUGAAGUCGGAAUCGCUAGUAAUCGCGGAUCAGCACGCCGCGGUGAAUACGUUCCCGGGCCUUGUACACACCGCCCGUCACACCACGAGAGUUUGUAACACCNGA
This 791-nucleotide ribosomal RNA is filed under the name uncultured bacterium. RNAcentral's name for it is "bacterial SSU rRNA". It matches the Rfam family "Bacterial small subunit ribosomal RNA", at positions 633 to 1424 of the family's 1533-position model. The record is from RNAcentral.